Long non-coding RNA from Oreochromis niloticus (Nile tilapia), 1431 nucleotides. RefSeq annotates it as CD226 antigen. NCBI's taxonomy places the organism in Eukaryota, Metazoa, Chordata, Actinopteri, Cichliformes, Cichlidae. The transcript is spliced from 7 exons. The record is from RefSeq and is a predicted model, not a curated record.
GGUCCUUGAAUGCACCACAAACAGCGCAGAGUCCGAGUGAGCCGCUGAAAGUCAGAUCUGUUCUUCAAAGCAGACUUUCAGCUUUAUUUCAAGCUUAAAUGUAAUCUGAUGUAGUCAGUAUUUACAGUCAGGCUCUGUUAUUAACUGAAAACAGCGACAGACUCAGACAUUUAGAACAAACUAAGACUCGGAUCAGCACAAAUACUGACACAGAGAUGGCUGCUGGCACUGCGCUGCUCUGCUGCUUGUCCAUGUCUUCGUCCCUGCAGGACCAAAGAUCAUUACAGCUGAGUCUGGACAGAACAUGACUCUGACAUGUCGAGCUCCAAAUAUCAGCAUCACGGGUGUAAAGUGGAUCAGAGCUGACCUGUGGCCAAAAAAUGUGCUUUUGUACCGUGAUAGUCAUUUUAUUCCAGACAACCAGCAUCCAUCUUUUAAGAACCGGGUGGAUCUGCAGGACAGACAGAUGAAGGAUGGAGACGUGUCUUUGAUUCUGAAGGGUGUGACGACUACUGACACUGGAACAUACAUGUGUCGUGUCAUCAUAGAAGAAAGACAGUCACUGAAGCUCAGCAUCAUCCACCUGAUUGUUGAUCCAGACCAGAAAAUCAUCACAGCUGUGCCUGGACAGGACGUCACUCUGACAUGUCGAGCUCCAAACAGUGAGAUCAGAGUUGUAGAGUGGAGCAGAGCUGACCUGGGAGACAAAUAUGUGCUUUUGCACUGGGAUGGUCACUUUGUUCCAGACAACCAGCAUCUAUCUUUUAAGAACCGGAUGGAUCUGCAGGACAGACAGAUGAAGGAUGGAGACGUGUCUUUGAUUCUGAAGGAUGUGACGAUUAAUGAUGCUGGAACAUACGAGUGUCGUGUCUACAUGGGAAGAGAAACAGACUCAUGGGAAUUCAUCAGCAUCAUCUUCCUGAGAGUUCCUCCAGACAAACACACCAUUUUUCUUCUCUCUGUGCUGUUGCCCAUUGGGUCAGUCUAUGUUGUGGUUCUGCUGGUGAGACGAUGUGUUCACAGGAAACUUGAAGAAGAUGGAGAAGAUGACAUCACCAGUGACAUCACAUACAUUGUUGUGAAAUCAUCAAAUCAUCAACAACCUCGAAUCGGAGAUAGAGAGACUGAUUCAGCUGUGAUCUACUCAGCAGUGAGAAGUGAAGAUGUCAGUUAUGGACAAACAACCAUCAGAACAAGGAGGCCCAGUUUCCCUGGACCUUUGUAAUCUGCCGUUUGGGAUGUAACUGAGUUGCUGUGUGGAACCGUGAGGUGGAGCAGGAGUGAGAGAGAACCAUUCCCUUUCUCCGACCUCCCUUUUGGACCCUUGGAACCCCGGAUUUCCCCCACAUGUAUAUAUAUCACACCUGGUCUUUGUGUAAAUAAAGACCUGCACUGAACUGUGAAGUCUGCGCCUGAGUCCACUCUGUUGCA